UCGUACAACCUGAGGCACGGAGGGCUGUCGCUGACCUUUUUAAAGGUCGUGCACGCUCAAAGUGCUCUCACACAUCCAUCUCACCCCUUUGUGCAUCACCGCGUGGGCCCCCCCUUUUGAACUUGGUUUCCGAAGGGGGGUGUUCACGUUUUUACACACACACACGAGUAUAGAAUGUUUUUACUUUUUGCAAUAACAUGCAAUACAAUA
This 210-nucleotide unclassified non-coding RNA is filed under the name uncultured Russula. RNAcentral's name for it is "sequence contains ITS1". The record is from RNAcentral. Lineage: Eukaryota; Fungi; Basidiomycota; Agaricomycetes; Russulales; Russulaceae.